UACGGAGGGUGCAAGCGUUAUCCGGAUUUAUUGGGUUUAAAGGGUCCGUAGGCGGAUCUGUAAGUCAGUGGUGAAAUCUCACAGCUUAACUGUGAAACUGCCAUUGAUACUGCAGGUCUUGAGUAAAGUAGAAGUGGCUGGAAUAAGUAGUGUAGCGGUGAAAUGCAUAGAUAUUACUUAGAACACCAAUUGCGAAGGCAGGUCACUAUGUUUUAACUGACGCUGAUGGACGAAAGCGUGGGGAGCGAACAGGAUUAGAUACCCUGGUAGUCCACGCCGUAAACGAUGCUAACUCGUUUUUGGGGCUUCGGCUUCAGAGACUAAGCGAAAGUGAUAAGUUAGCCACCUGGGGAGUACGUUCGCAAGAAUGAA
RNAcentral lists this ribosomal RNA (372 nucleotides) under uncultured bacterium. RNAcentral's name for it is "bacterial SSU rRNA". It matches the Rfam family "Bacterial small subunit ribosomal RNA", at positions 524 to 898 of the family's 1533-position model. The record is from RNAcentral.